UGAAUUCGUUGCUGCUGUGGUAGUAUGCUUACAUUCCAAAUUUAUGAUGCAUGGUUAUUAGUUUUAUGCUAUAUUUGAAUAAAUAGUAUUUUAGCUGCGGAUGAAUAUAUACUCAUCCAAUCGUGAUGCCCCCCUCCCCAGAAUCCCUUGCCCUUUUUUGGGUUUGUUAUCUUUGUAAUUUAUAGGUUUGUUACUCGUAACAUCUGCAACAGGAACUCCUUAUGUAUUUGUUCAUGAAAUCUCCGAUUGCACCAUCAAAUGGCCUAUUAAACUUAGAAUUGUCUGGAGAGUAGGUCCUUCAUACUCAAGAGAUGGGAAAUUAAUGUAUAAACAGCUCAUUUUGAUCGAUGAAAAGCUAGUCUUUUUUCAUAAUGCCGGAGUGUUUAACACAAUCUUGAUGCCCAACAAACUUUUAUGUUACCCAGGAAAUAAAGAUACAAUGCUACCAUCUUUGUUUAGAGAACCCAAUCUUGACAAGUCGGGGUGGAUUCGUCUAUAAUGAGUGCGGACUGAUAUCAGAAUCACUAGAAUUGAAGCCAGUUAUUGUCGCUACAAAUUUGCAAGUAACAGGCGUAUGUGGUAAAAUUAUUAUUAUAAUUCAUUCGUGGCAGGCAGAGCAUUUAUCAGAGUGAUAUUUCGUGAUCUAUUACCUUUUAAAGGGGGAAAAAAAGAAAAACCUUUCCUUGAGUCCAUCAACUGAGAUAUCAAAAUCAAUUGAACAAAUUCACCCAAACUAUCAAUUGAACAAGACAUACUAGAGGCCAAAGAAUUGCAAUCUUAGAAAUUGAAUAGGUGAUCCAAUUUUGGAUGAUAUAUUGACUAAGCCUAGAGCUUUGCCUAGAAUGGAACUCAGCACCAUUGAGGAGAUUAAUGAAAUCUCUUACACGGUGGUAACAACCUUUCUGCCCUUUUUUUCUUUAUUUUUUCUUUCCCUUACUUUUCCUGUGUGACUCGCUUGCUAAUAGAAGGCUUUAUUGUGAUUGAUGUACCA
Camellia sinensis is the source of this 991-nucleotide non-coding RNA. The record is from RefSeq and is a predicted model, not a curated record. NCBI's taxonomy places the organism in Eukaryota, Viridiplantae, Streptophyta, Magnoliopsida, Ericales, Theaceae.